GUGCCAGCAGCCGCGGUAAUACGAGGGAUCCUAGCGUUGUUCGGAAUCAUUGGGCGUAAAGGGUGCGUAGGUGGCCAAGUAAGUCAGUUGUGAAAGCCCCGGGCUCAACCCGGGAAGUGCUUCUGAUACUGCAUGGCUUGAAUGUUGGAGAGGUGAGUGGAAUUCCAGGUGUAGUGGUGAAAUACGUAGAUAUCUGGAGGAACACCGGUGGCGAAGGCGGCUCACUGGCCAUACAUUGACGCUGAGGCACGAAAGCGUGGGGAUCAAACAGGAUUAGAUACCCUCGUAGUCC
Molecule: ribosomal RNA, 292 nt
Filed under: uncultured bacterium
Lineage: Bacteria
Description: partial 16S ribosomal RNA
Rfam family: Bacterial small subunit ribosomal RNA
Source: RNAcentral